GUCUUUUUGUAAUUAAAUUUAAAGUCUAAUCUGCCCACUGAUAAUUAUUUAAUGGCCGCAGUAUUUUAACUGUGCAAAGGUAGCAUAAUCAUUAGUCUUUUAAUUGGGGGCUUGUAUGAAUGAUUGAACGAGAUAUAAACUGUCUCAUAAAAAUUUUUUAUAGAAUUUAAUUUUUUAGUCAAAAAGCUAAAAUAUUUUUAAAAGACGAGAAGACCCUAUAGAUCUUUAUAAAAUAACUUAUUCUUUUUUUUUUAGAUUUGUUAAAUAUUAAUAAAUUAUUUUAUUUUGUUGGGGUGACAUUGAAAUUUAUAAAACUUUCAAAUUUUAAAUCCAUUAUUUUAUGAAUUAAUGAUCCUUUAUUAUUGAUUAAAAAUUUAAGUUACCUUAGGGAUAACAGCGUAAUUAUUUUGGAGAGUUCUUAUCGAUAAAAUAGAUUGCGACCUCGAUGUUGGAUUAAGAUAAAUUUUAGGUGUAGAAGCUUAAAGUAUUAAGUCUGUUCGACUUUUAAUUUCUU
This 514-nucleotide ribosomal RNA is filed under the name Teuchophorus monacanthus. Its description in RNAcentral is "partial 16S ribosomal RNA". It matches the Rfam family "Bacterial large subunit ribosomal RNA", at positions 1825 to 2597 of the family's 2925-position model. Lineage: Eukaryota; Metazoa; Arthropoda; Insecta; Diptera; Dolichopodidae. The record is from RNAcentral.